UUGGGUGUGGCUGCACUGUCUGAAUAG
Molecule: non-coding RNA, 27 nt
Filed under: Mus musculus (house mouse)
Lineage: Eukaryota; Metazoa; Chordata; Mammalia; Rodentia; Muridae
Source: RNAcentral